UCACCUGGGAGGAACCAUCUAUUGUCCUGUCCUGAAGGGAGUUCCUCCUAGGUCUGGUCAGACCUUUCUAUGAUGGAUUUUUGGAAACACAGCAGAAGGACAUUCACUCAUUGCCCCCAUUUGCCACUAUAGGAAUAUGCACCUCCCUUUAAUUCACUCAAUUUGCUUUCAUCUUGAUCUAUUAUGUUGUUGUAGACCCAGUUUCAGUUGUUAAAGUAUUGGAUUACUGGGUUAUCAGUUCUAAGGCCCUGGCAAGGGUGGUGGGGAACAGGUCCCACAUAAGUGCCCAUAUCGAGAGCUGUAUGCCUAAAUUGGGUGGGACACCAGGGACAAGAUUCCCUGGUUUUAUAGCUUAGGGGCCUGAGGAUGCAACAUAGAGCUUCCUUAGAUCCAUUUGGAGAUACAACCUGCUCUAAUACUUGGGAGAGGAAGUGAAAGUCUGAAGCACUAGUAUCUAGGAGACAGGGAUCAGAGGAAGUAGAUUCAGAGGUAAGGAGAAUUUUGGGGCUACACUUUCAAGAAAGUCAUGGUCAGGACCCAGGAGGUAUGGGUCAGAGGGAGAGGUAGGGGUGCACGCAUGGGCGACUGUUGAGCAGAGACUUCUGGCUGUGCUAUGAUCUCAACUGGCUAAUGCCGGGAGUUCAGGAUGACAGCUUUCUGCCUCUAGUUGGCCCUCAGCUUCCCUAGGAAAAUUCAAAGUGGAAGCUGGCUCCAGGCAGACCAACACUCCCAACCCAGAAGGGUUGGGGUUUGUUAGAAAGCCCUUUCCCAGACAGCCUCACACCUGAGUCUUAAGUCAGGCAGCCAUGCUAAUCAUUUCUAACUGGCUGACAGGUGCCUGGCAUUUUCCUCCAAUUAUAAGGAAGGAUAGGACAAAAUAGCAAGUGAAAGUGGUCCAAUAUUACUCACUGCUUUGGAGGUCCCUUUGUGGUUGCCAAAAUGUUACUGGGGGGGGGGGGCAGUUCUUGUUCUUAGAGCUCCCAAGAUGGUGCAGACCACUUCCAAAAUGGUGGCAAGCUUCUUGUUCUCUGACCCGGGGUUCUUGGCCUCACAGAUUCCAAGGAAUGGAAUGUUGGGCCAUGUGGUGAAUGUUAUAGCUCUCCUAGAAGCUGUGGGUCAUGGAACAGAACCGUGGAACCCAGCGACUAGUGUUCAGCUCAAUUAGGAUGAACCCAGGCACUUAGCCAAGCAGGAACAAUGGUGAGCCUUUAGCCCAAUCAGGAGUGGCAAUGGGCAC
RNAcentral lists this long non-coding RNA (1237 nucleotides) under Pan troglodytes (chimpanzee). RNAcentral's name for it is "lincRNA". The record is from RNAcentral. Lineage: Eukaryota; Metazoa; Chordata; Mammalia; Primates; Hominidae.